AGUGUAUUAAGGUGGUGGGUGGGGGGCAAUGUAUUAAUUUGGGGGAAGGAGGCAAUAUUAGAGUGGUGAGGAGUAACUGAUUAGUGCAUGCACAAUGGCCUCGGAUUGCUUUCCUACGGGAAAGCAUUGGUUUGGUUGCGAUUGGCAUGGUGUGGGAAAAAAGUAAAUUUUUCCCAUGCAUCAGAGGGUUGCUGGUCACCUAAACAGACACACACAUACUGGCAGACACACACAUAAUGACACAUUGAGAGAAACACACACU
Molecule: non-coding RNA, 262 nt
Organism: Pelobates cultripes (western spadefoot toad)
Lineage: Eukaryota; Metazoa; Chordata; Amphibia; Anura; Pelobatidae
Source: the annotation of a GenBank genome assembly